Camelina sativa (false flax) is the source of this 140-nucleotide non-coding RNA. The record is from RefSeq and is a predicted model, not a curated record. NCBI's taxonomy places the organism in Eukaryota, Viridiplantae, Streptophyta, Magnoliopsida, Brassicales, Brassicaceae.
GAUGGAUGUGCAUGCAUUGUUGUAAAUGGGGAUGUUGUCGCUCAAGGCUCACAAUUCUCAUUGAGGGACGUUGAGGUCAUCGUAUCUCAAGUUGAUCUUGAUGCGGUUGCGAGUCUUCGAGGAUCUAUAAGUAGUUUUCA